UACGAAUUUUUCUCUCGUUCCUCGGAAUUACUGGGCGUAAAGCGUGCGUAGGUGGUUCGUUAAGUCUGAUGUGAAAGCCCUGGGCUCAACCUGGGAAUUGCAUUGGAUACUGGCGAGCUAGAGUGCGGUAGAGGAUGGCGGAAUUCCCGGUGUAGCAGUGAAAUGCGUAGAGAUCGGGAGGAACAUCUGUGGCGAAGGCGGCCAUCUGGACCAGCACUGACACUGAGGCACGAAAGCGUGGGGAGCAAACAGG
This 253-nucleotide ribosomal RNA is filed under the name uncultured bacterium. RNAcentral describes it as "partial 16S ribosomal RNA". It matches the Rfam family "Bacterial small subunit ribosomal RNA", at positions 524 to 776 of the family's 1533-position model. The record is from RNAcentral.